This is a long non-coding RNA of Carassius carassius (crucian carp), 516 nucleotides long. RefSeq lists it as uncharacterized. The record is from RefSeq and is a predicted model, not a curated record. NCBI's taxonomy places the organism in Eukaryota, Metazoa, Chordata, Actinopteri, Cypriniformes, Cyprinidae. The transcript has 3 exons.
UACGCAGUAAUGGGUUACACUGACAAUAGUUAUCGAACUGUUUGUGUGUGUUAGGGCAUGAAAGAAGCAGAUGACUACAGCGAUUCUGAUGAAGACCAGCAUGAUGCUUACCUGGAAAGAAUGAAAGAAGAGGGCCAGAUCACAACUUUGGUAAAAAGCUGAAAAGAAGCCCAAGAAAGUGGUGAAGGAGAACAUAGAGAAAAAACCACAGAAAGAGGAGGGGGACGGAAAAGCAGAACAGGCUAAAAAACAAUAUGAGAAAGCCAUGAAAGAGUACAGAGCAAGUGGAGGAGAAGUGGCAUCUGUUACUAAUCCUGCUUUACAAAGACACAAUCAUGACUUCUGCAUUUGGAGAAAAGAAAACGAAAGGAGGGAAGGUGGAAGUUUAGCAGAAGAUUGGAGGAGAAAAGGAGAGAAAGAAAUAAGGUGGAAAAACAGCUUUAAGAGUAAAGAGUUUAUCUGCAUCGAGAAGAGCUCAUCUGAAUCUGACCACGACAGAGGCAGCAAACGCAAGGU